AUUGAACGCUGGCGGCAGGCCUAACACAUGCAAGUCGAACGGUAACAGGAAGCAGCUUGCUGCUUCGCUGACGAGUGGCGGACGGGUGAGUAAUGUCUGGGAAACUGCCUGAUGGAGGGGAAUAACUACUGGAAACGGUAGCUAAUACCGCAUAACGUCGCAAGACCAAAGAGGGGGACCUUCGGGCCUCUUGCCAUCGGAUGUGCCCAGAUGGGAUUAGCUUGUUGGUGGGGUAACGGCUCACCAAGGCGACGAUCCCUAGCUGGUCUGAGAGGAUGACCAGCCACACUGGAACUGAGACACGGUCCAGACUCCUACGGGAGGCAGCAGUGGGGAAUAUUGCACAAUGGGCGCAAGCCUGAUGCAGCCAUGCCGCGUGUAUGAAGAAGGCCUUCGGGUUGUAAAGUACUUUCAGCGGGGAGGAAGGGAGUAAAGUUAAUACCUUUGCUCAUUGACGUUACCCGCAGAAGAAGCACCGGCUAACUCCGUGCCAGCAGCCGCGGUAAUACGGAGGGUGCAAGCGUUAAUCGGAAUUACUGGGCG
Molecule: ribosomal RNA, 543 nt
Filed under: uncultured Escherichia sp.
Lineage: Bacteria; Pseudomonadati; Pseudomonadota; Gammaproteobacteria; Enterobacterales; Enterobacteriaceae
Description: bacterial SSU rRNA
Rfam family: Bacterial small subunit ribosomal RNA
Source: RNAcentral